RNAcentral lists this ribosomal RNA (566 nucleotides) under Escherichia coli. Its description in RNAcentral is "bacterial LSU rRNA". It matches the Rfam family "Bacterial large subunit ribosomal RNA", at positions 917 to 1484 of the family's 2925-position model. Lineage: Bacteria; Pseudomonadati; Pseudomonadota; Gammaproteobacteria; Enterobacterales; Enterobacteriaceae. The record is from RNAcentral.
GGCAAGGGGGUCAUCCCGACUUACCAACCCGAUGCAAACUGCGAAUACCGGAGAAUGUUAUCACGGGAGACACACGGCGGGUGCUAACGUCCGUCGUGAAGAGGGAAACAACCCAGACCGCCAGCUAAGGUCCCAAAGUCAUGGUUAAGUGGGAAACGAUGUGGGAAGGCCCAGACAGCCAGGAUGUUGGCUUAGAAGCAGCCAUCAUUUAAAGAAAGCGUAAUAGCUCACUGGUCGAGUCGGCCUGCGCGGAAGAUGUAACGGGGCUAAACCAUGCACCGAAGCUGCGGCAGCGACGCUGAUGCGUUGUUGGGUAGGGGAGCGUUCUGUAAGCCUGUGAAGGUGUGCUGUGAGGCAUGCUGGAGGUAUCAGAAGUGCGAAUGCUGACAUAAGUAACGAUAAAGCGGGUGAAAAGCCCGCUCGCCGGAAGACCAAGGGUUCCUGUCCAACGUUAAUCGGGGCAGGGUGAGUCGGCCCCUAAGGCGAGGCCGAAAGGCGUAGUCGAUGGGAAACAGGUUAAUAUUCCUGUACUUGGUGUUACUGCGAAGGGGGGACGGAGAAGGCUA